RNAcentral lists this small RNA (416 nucleotides) under Pan troglodytes (chimpanzee). RNAcentral describes it as "processed transcript". Lineage: Eukaryota; Metazoa; Chordata; Mammalia; Primates; Hominidae. The record is from RNAcentral.
CGACAGAAGUAUAAUAAGGAACAACAGCUAAAAAAGAUCACUGCAAAACAAAAGCAUCUCCAGGCCAUCCUUGGAGGAGCAGAGGUGAAGAUUGAACUAGAUCACGCCAGUCUGGAGGAGGAUGCAGGUACAUGGUGAUCCCUGUUUUUGGUUUUACUGUCUCUUGAAUUUAAGUCCAUCUGAAUGUUGGUUUUAGCAAUGACGUGAGAACUUCGGAGCUUGCUUCCUCAUGGACGACUACUCAGCUGAUAAGGAAACACAGCUAAACUUGACUAUUUAUAACUGUAUUUAUAGAGUAAUAAGCCUAUCUUUGGAUGGCAGAGAGUAUAGUGAAAUAUUUGGGGGAAAAGUUACUGAGAAGUCGUCUUUUUGAACAGGAAUAUAUUAAAUAUAGCAUGAUGCUAUAAUAAAUUUUA